Molecule: ribosomal RNA, 1004 nt
Filed under: uncultured bacterium
Lineage: Bacteria
Description: bacterial SSU rRNA
Rfam family: Bacterial small subunit ribosomal RNA
Source: RNAcentral
AGUGGGGAAUAUUGCACAAUGGGGGAAACCCUGAUGCAGCAACGCCGCGUGGAGGAUGACGCAUUUCGGUGUGUAAACUCCUUUUAUUAAGGAAGAAAUUUGACGGUACUUAAUGAAUAAGCACCGGCUAACUCCGUGCCAGCAGCCGCGGUAAUACGGAGGGUGCAAGCGUUACUCGGAAUUACUGGGCGUAAAGGACGCGUAGGCGGCCAGAUAAGUUAGAUGUGAAAUCCUAUGGCUUAACCAUAGAACUGCAUCUAAAACUAUUUGGCUAGAGUGAGGGAGAGGUCAGUGGAAUUAGUGGUGUAGGGGUAAAAUCCGUAGAGAUCACUAGGAAUACUCAUUGCGAAGGCGACUGACUGGAACUUAACUGACGCUGAGGCGUGAAAGCGUGGGGAGCAAACAGGAUUAGAUACCCUGGUAGUCCACGCCCUAAACGAUGUACACUAGUUGUUGGAAUGCAAGUCAUUUCAGUAAUGCAGCUAACGCAUUAAGUGUACCGCCUGGGGAGUACGGUCGCAAGAUUAAAACUCAAAGGAAUAGACGGGGACCCGCACAAGCGGUGGAGCAUGUGGUUUAAUUCGACGAUACGCGAAGAACCUUACCUAGGCUUGACAUCCUAUAAAUAAUUUAGAGAUAAGUUAGUGCUAGUUUACUAGAAUAUAGUGACAGGUGCUGCACGGCUGUCGUCAGCUCGUGUCGUGAGAUGUUGGGUUAAGUCCCGCAACGAGCGCAACCCUCGUCGUUAGUUGCUAACAGUUCGGCUGAGCACUCUAACGAGACUGCCUUCGUAAGGAGGAGGAAGGUGAGGACGACGUCAAGUCAUCAUGGCCCUUAUGCCUAGGGCUACACACGUGCUACAAUGGGGAGGACAAUGAGACGCAAUACCGCGAGGUGGAGCAAAUCUAUAAACCUUCUCUCAGUUCGGAUAGCACUCUGCAACUCGAGUGCUUGAAGCUGGAAUCGCUAGUAAUCGUAGAUCAGCAAUGCUACGGUGAAUACGU